UAUCGCAAACAAUCAAGAGUUUGUCGAAUUUAUAGCUGGCAGAAAAUUACCUUAUGGAGCGUUACCUGUCGCUCAUAGAUAUGGUGGUCAUCAAUACGGCUUAUGGGUAGGUCAAUUAGGAGAUGGAAGGGCACACAUCCUUGGCGAAUAUAUAAGUAGGUUAAACAAGCGCUGGCAGGUUCAACUCAAAGGUUCGGGCCAGACUCCAUAUUCUCGUUUAUAUGACGGUCGAGCGGUGCUACGUUCCUGUAUAAG
RNAcentral lists this unclassified non-coding RNA (255 nucleotides) under Melitaea cinxia (Glanville fritillary). Its description in RNAcentral is "misc RNA ENSMCXG00005022551.1". Lineage: Eukaryota; Metazoa; Arthropoda; Insecta; Lepidoptera; Nymphalidae. The record is from RNAcentral.